RNAcentral lists this long non-coding RNA (257 nucleotides) under Lathyrus oleraceus (garden pea). RNAcentral describes it as "Pisum sativum (pea) long non-coding RNA (PSAT_LNC039310)". Lineage: Eukaryota; Viridiplantae; Streptophyta; Magnoliopsida; Fabales; Fabaceae. The record is from RNAcentral.
UUGAUAAGUUAGCAUUGACUAGGGAGACUUAACCUUCCUUGAUUCAAAUCUAAUUCAUAUUGAUCAAUUGAUCAAGUGAAUGGCUUUGCAUUAAGGAUAGGUUGUUUCCCAAAUCAUGCAAAAGGCUUAAACCAAUACAAGAUCAAUUCUCUUUUUCUUUUUGGCAUGGCAAGUUGUUGGAACUUGGUUCAAUAAUCAAGACUUCUAACUUGUGUUGUUGCCUACAUUAUUAUUGACCGGCCUCAGAUAGUUGUGAC